Molecule: non-coding RNA, 286 nt
Organism: Lupinus albus (white lupine)
Lineage: Eukaryota; Viridiplantae; Streptophyta; Magnoliopsida; Fabales; Fabaceae
Source: the annotation of a GenBank genome assembly
UUCCUCCUCCCAAGGUUAUAGGUCAUCUCAGUUUGGCAGGAUUUAGUGGAUUCUCUUAAUUUGGGUGCCCCUAAAAAUCUGAUCAAGCUUUAAAACCAAACAUGAAGCAGCCAUUUGACAGAUUACAAUGGCUUGAAAGGACCAAAAACUAUUCCUGGUACAGUUUCAAAUUUGUAUGAUAAAAAAAGUGGAAGACAUAGGUCAUUAAAGGUUUGCAUCCACCCCAACAAAUAUUCAAUGCUGCUUAGUGCUGUCUCAAUCUGUUCUCAACCUUGGGCAACUGGAU